Non-coding RNA from Meleagris gallopavo (turkey), 348 nucleotides. The record is from RefSeq and is a predicted model, not a curated record. Lineage: Eukaryota; Metazoa; Chordata; Aves; Galliformes; Phasianidae.
AAAGUACCUCGAUCAACUGAGUCACUUCUUUGAGUUUCAAGAGGACUCAAUUGCAUGAGGUCCUGCAUUUCUUCUGAAAAAGUUCUCUUGUCCUUCCCAGGCAAGGAAGUGAUGAGAAGGCAGCAGGCUGUGGAAGGUGACUGGUACAAGUGCACAACAAGUAAAUUUCGGAGCUGCUUCUUUGUGAGCCAUCUUUAAGACUGUGAUGAAAUGAUGUGACAAAUGCCACGUGGUGUUGGAGCUGGAGGAGUCGCAACCCCAAAGUCCAGAUAGAAGCGAUUGAAGGAGGAGCGCUGCAGAAGCUGCUGGUCAUUGUGGCUACAGAACAACCUCAGGCUGUCAAGAAGA